Molecule: transfer RNA, 68 nt
Filed under: Bubas bison
Lineage: Eukaryota; Metazoa; Arthropoda; Insecta; Coleoptera; Scarabaeidae
Description: tRNA-Ala
Source: RNAcentral
AGGGUAAUAGUUAACCAUAACAUUUAAUUUGCAUUUAAAAAGUAUUGAAUUCAUAUCAAUUUACCUUA